RNAcentral lists this long non-coding RNA (3904 nucleotides) under Triticum aestivum (bread wheat). Its description in RNAcentral is "long non-coding RNA (TAES_LNC014713)". The record is from RNAcentral. Lineage: Eukaryota; Viridiplantae; Streptophyta; Magnoliopsida; Poales; Poaceae.
GCAUAUGUCAUGUUUCGAAUCUGGCAACGUCCAAUUUGAAUUAUUGUCGUCCUCUUUAUCUCUUCUAGAUUUUUUUUUGCGGAAAUCUCUUCUUGAUUUUAGAUUCAUCAACCAGGGUAUCAUUUCCAACCGUCAGUGUCCUAGCUGGAGAUCACUUCCUUUUUUUGCGUAUGUCCUUCCUUAUCUUUUCCAUCCUUAAAUUAUAAGAUACGUAGCAGCGCGCACAUGUAUAUAAAAAUAUUAUCCUUCUUUAUUUCUCUUGUGAAGAGUCUCUGGUUCCUUCCUUAUUUACCAUGAUCUCUGAGAGACUUCCUGAUACCCAGGAAAUGAAUGAUGUAUAUAAAUAAGAUAGAUUGGAUGUAAAUCAGCUAGGUGGGACUAGUCAAUAUCGGCCUCAACCUUCCCUUGUAGACACAGGACGUUAGCUUAGUUGACCUUGAUUUUUGCUUCUUAACCGGGAUAGAUGGGCCUCAACUUUCCCUUGUACACACAGGACGUUAGCUUAGUUGGCCUUGAUUUUUGCCUCUUAACCGGGAUAGAUGGGCCGGUUUUCUGGACCAUGACACAUGGGUUGGUUCGUUCGCUCGGCCUCGCUGGCUAACGAAGGAAACUGACGUACGAAAUAGCGGACGGAUGAAACGGACGAAAAUUAGGGCGUAAGAAGCGUUUCGUGCUUUAUUAUUAGGUAAAGAUGUGUAGGUCCUGUUGUUGUCCAAUAGAGACAUAUCACCUGGAACCAUAAAUAUCUAGUGGUGAUACUGUUGAAACUUGAAACUGGAGCGAGUUAUUUGGUGUGGCUCAACAUGUCAUAGCAAUAUGGUGCCUAGAGCAGCUUAUCUUCUUAUGUCUUAUUAUUUGGCACAAACCAAACUUCAUUAUAUUAAGUAUUCACGUUUCUAAAGACAAAUUGUUUCGUAUUCUGUCUCCGUGGGUUUCAUUGUAUAUGCUUUCCAUGUGUGUUAAAAAUUCAGUUAAAAAUAGCAAAUUCAGGCACAUGUCAUGUUUCGAAUCUGGCAACGUGCAAUUUGAAUUACUGUCGUCCUCUUUAUCUCUUCUAGAUUUUUUUUGCGGAAAUCUCUUCUAGAUUUUAGAUUCAUCAACCAGGGUAUGAUUUCCAACCGUCAAUGUCCUAGCAGGAGAUCACUUCCUUUUUUUGUGUAUGUCCUUCCUUAUCUUUUCCAUCCUUAAAUUAUAAGAUACGUAGCAGCGCGCACAUGAAUAUAUAAAUAUUAUCCUUCUUUAUUUCUCUUGUGAAGAGCCUCUGGUUCCUUCCUUAUUUAUCAUGAUCUCUGAGAGACUUCCUGAUACCCAGGAAAUGAAUGAUGUAUAUAAAUAAGAUAGAUUGGAUGUAAAUCAGCGAGGCGGGACUAUUCAAUAUCGGCCUCAACCUUCCCUUGUAGACACAGGACGUUAGCUUAGUUGGCCUUGAUUUUUGCCUCUUAACCGGGAUAGAUGGGCCUCAACUUUCCCUUGUACACACAGGACGUUAGCUUAGUUGGCCUUGAUUUUUGCCGCUUAACCGGGAUAGAUGAGCCUGAUUUUCUGGACCAUGACACAUGGGUUGGUUCGUUCGCUCGGCCUCGCUGGCCGACGAAGGAAACUGACGUACGAAAUAGCGGACGGACGAAACGGACGAAAAUCAGGGCGUAAGAAGCGUUUCGUGCUUUAUUAUUAGGUAAAGAUGUGUAGGUCCUGUCGUUGUCCAAUAAAGACAUAUCACCUGGAACCAUAAAUAUCUAGUGGUGAUACUGUUGAAACUUGAAACUGGAGCGAGUUAUUUGGUGUGGCUCAACAUGUCAUAGCAAUAUGGUGCCUAGAGCAGCUUAUCUUCUUCUGUCUUAUUAUUUGGCACAAACCAAACUUUAUUAUAUUAAGUAUGCACGUUUCUAAAGACAAAUUGUUUCGUAUUCUGCUUCCGUGGGUUUCAUUGUAUAUGCUUGCCGUGUGUGUUAAAAAUUCAGUUAAAAAUAGCACAUUCAGGCACAUGUCAUCUUUCGAAUCUGGCAACGUGCAAUUUGAAUUAUUGUCGUCCUCUUUAUCUCUUCUAGAUUUUUUUUGCAGAAAUCUCUUCUAGAUUUUAGAUUCAUCAACCAGGGUAUCAUUUCCAACCGUCAAUGUCCUAGCAGGAGAUCACUUCCUUUUUUUGCGUAUGUCCUUCCUUAUCCUUUCCAUCUUUAAAUUAUAAGAUACAUAGCAGCGCGCACAUGUAUAUAGAAAUAUUAUCCUUCUUUAUUUCUCUUGUGAAGAGCCUCUGGUUCCUUCCUUAUUUAUCAUGAUCUCUAAGACUUCCUGAUAUCCAGGAAAUUAAUGAUGUAUAUAAAUAAGAUAGAUUGGAUGUAAAUCAGCGAGGUGGGACAAUUCAAUAUCGGCCUCAACCUUCCCUUGUAGACACAGGACGUUAGCUUAGUUGGCCUUGAUUUUUGCCUCUUAACCGGGAUAGAUGAGCCUCAACUUUCCCUUGUACACACAGGAUGUUAUCUUAGUUGGCCUUGAUUUUUGCCUCUUAACCAGGAUAGAUGGGCCGGAUUUUCUGGACCAUGACACAUGGGUUGGUUCGUUCGCUCGGCCUCGCUGGCUGACGAAGGAAACUGACGUACGAAAUAGCGGACGGACGAAAUGGACGAAUAUCAGGGUGUAAGAAGCGUUUCGUGCUUUAUUAUUAGGUAAAGAUGUGUAGGUCCUGUUGUUGUCCAAUAGAGACAUAUCACCUGGAACCAUAAAUAUCUAGUGGUGAUACUGUUGAAACUUGAAACUGGAGCGAGUUAUUUGGUGUGGCUCAACAUGUCAUAGCAAUAUGGUGCCUAGAGCAGCUUAUCUUCUUAUGUCUUAUUACUUGGCACAAACCAAACUUUAUUAUAUUAAGUAUUCACGUUUCUAAAGACAAAUUGUUUCGUAUUCUGCUUCCGUGGGUUUCAUUGUAUAUGCUUGCCGUGUGUGUUAAAAAUUCAGUUAAAAAUAGAAAAUUUAGGCACAUGUCAUGUUUCGAAUCUCGCAACGUGCAAUUUGAAUUAUUGUCGUCCUUUUUAUCUCUUCUAGAUAUUCUUUUGUGGAAAUCUCUUCUAGAUUUUAGAUUCAUCAACAAGGGUAUCAUUUCCAACCUUCAAUGUCCUAGCAGGAGAUCACUUCCUUUUUUUGCGUAUGUCCUUCCUUAUCUUUUCCAUCCUUAAAUUAUAAGAUACGUAGCAGCGCGCACAUGUAUAUAGAAAUAUUGUCCUUCUUUAUUUCUCUUGUGAAGAGCCUCUGGUUCCUUCCUUAUUUAUCAUGAUCUCUGAGAGACUUUCUGAUACCCAGGAAAUUAAUGAUCUAUAUAAAUAAGAUAGAUUGGAUGUAAAUCAGCAAGGUGGGACUAUUCAAUAUCGGCCUCAACCUUCCCUUGUAGACACAGGACGUUAGCUUAGUUGGCCUUAAUUUUUGCCUCUUAACCGGGAUAGAUGGGCCUCAACUUUCCCUUGUACACACAGGACGUUAGCUUAGUUGGCCUUGAUUUUUGCCUCUUAACCGGGAUAGAUGGGCCGGAUUUUCUGGACCAUGACACAUGGGUUGGUUCGUUCUCUCGGCCUCACUUGCUGACGAAGGAAACUGACGUACGAAAUAGCGGACGGACGAAACGGACGAAAAUCAGGGCGUAAGAAGCAUUUCGUGCUUUAUUACUAGGUAAAGAUGUGUAGGUCUUGUUGUUGUCCAAUAGAGACAUAUCACCUGGAACCAUAAAUAUCUAGUGGUGAUACUGUUGAAACUUGAAACUGGAGCGAGUUAUUUGGUGUGGCUCAACAUGUCAUAGCAAUAUGGUGCCUAGAGCAGCUUAUCUUCUUAUGUCUUAUUAUUUGGCACAAACCAAACUUUAUUAUAUUAAGUAUGCACGUUUAUAAAGACAAAUUGUUUCGUAUUCUGCUUCCGUGGGAGU